UACAGAGGUCUCGAGCGUUGUUCGGAUUCAUUGGGCGUAAAGGGUGCGUAGGUGGCGCUGUAAGUCGGGUGUGAAAUCCUGAGGCUUAACCUCGGAACUGCAUUCGAUACUGCAGCGCUUGAGGACUGGAGAGGAGACUGGAAUUCAUGGUGUAGCAGUGAAAUGCGUAGAGAUCAUGAGGAAGACCAGUGGCGAAGGCGGGUCUCUGGACAGUUCCUGACACUGAGGCACGAAGGCCAGGGGAGCAAACGGG
Molecule: ribosomal RNA, 253 nt
Filed under: uncultured bacterium
Lineage: Bacteria
Description: partial 16S ribosomal RNA
Rfam family: Bacterial small subunit ribosomal RNA
Source: RNAcentral